GCCGGAGUGGUGAAAUGGGUAGACGCGCUGGACUCAAAAUCCAGUCCGGGGCGACUCGGGUGUGGGUUCGAAUCCCACCUCCGGCACCA
RNAcentral lists this transfer RNA (89 nucleotides) under bacterium. RNAcentral's name for it is "tRNA-Leu". It matches the Rfam family "tRNA". Rfam says of the family: Transfer RNA (tRNA) molecules are approximately 80 nucleotides in length. Their secondary structure includes four short double-helical elements and three loops (D, anti-codon, and T loops). The record is from RNAcentral.